GGCAAAGCAGAGCUGAUUCACUACCUUUCCCGCACUCUCUAAACUGUUGCCUGCGAAAGAGGAACUGGGGACUUAACUAUUCAGGCUGCUUCCAUUCAGGUGUUCCGGAAGGAUGGUAUAUACACAUCCAAAGGGACAAUUCUCUUGGCUGUUCGGGGUUUACAAGGAGCAGGCAUCUGAAACUGCGCUCUGAAGCUAUAUUCCAGAGAUGUUCCUGAACAACUUGCCCGUCGGUGUAAGCUUCAAAAGGGAUCCUUAAAAGGCCAGCCCCAUUCAUCCCACGAGCCACGAGAAAGGAAUCCCUCUCCAUGUUGAUGGAUGAGCAAAGCUUCACAUUCCCUUCUCAUUUUAAGGAGCAAAAUUCAUGGUC
Long non-coding RNA from Cervus elaphus (red deer), 370 nucleotides. RefSeq lists it as uncharacterized. The record is from RefSeq and is a predicted model, not a curated record. The transcript has 3 exons. NCBI's taxonomy places the organism in Eukaryota, Metazoa, Chordata, Mammalia, Artiodactyla, Cervidae.